RNAcentral lists this non-coding RNA (20 nucleotides) under Arabidopsis thaliana (thale cress). Lineage: Eukaryota; Viridiplantae; Streptophyta; Magnoliopsida; Brassicales; Brassicaceae. The record is from RNAcentral.
AAGCAUUUGCCAAGGAUGUU